Non-coding RNA from Rattus norvegicus (Norway rat), 69 nucleotides. Lineage: Eukaryota; Metazoa; Chordata; Mammalia; Rodentia; Muridae. The record is from Rfam.
GGGGAUUUAGCUCAGUGGCAGAGCACUUGCCUAGCAAGCACAAGGCCCUGGGUUCGGUCCCCAGCUCCG